Molecule: non-coding RNA, 107 nt
Organism: Gossypium hirsutum (cotton)
Lineage: Eukaryota; Viridiplantae; Streptophyta; Magnoliopsida; Malvales; Malvaceae
Source: Rfam
AACCCAUGGUGAGGGCACCUUUUCAAUAGAUCUUUGUACCUCUCCCAUGCAUCAUAAAAGGUUUUUAAAUCCAUCUGCACAAAAGAAGAGAUAUCAUUCCUUAGUUU